RNAcentral lists this ribosomal RNA (388 nucleotides) under uncultured bacterium. RNAcentral's name for it is "bacterial SSU rRNA". It matches the Rfam family "Bacterial small subunit ribosomal RNA", at positions 29 to 417 of the family's 1533-position model. The record is from RNAcentral.
AUUGAACGCUGGCGGCAUGCCUUACACAUGCAAGUCGAACGGCAGCGCGGGGGCAACCCUGGCGGCGAGUGGCGAACGGGUGAGUAAUAUAUCGGAACGUACCCAAGAGUGGGGGAUAACGUAGCGAAAGUUACGCUAAUACCGCAUACGAUCUAAGGAUGAAAGUGGGGGACCGCAAGGCCUCACGCUCCUGGAGCGGCCGAUAUCUGAUUAGCUAGUUGGUGGGGUAAAGGCCUACCAAGGCAUCGAUCAGUAGCUGGCCUGAGAGGACGACCAGCCACACUGGGACUGAGACACGGCCCAGACUCCUACGGGAGGCAGCAGUGGGGAAUUUUGGACAAUGGGGGGCAACCCUGAUCCAGCAAUGCCGCGUGAGUGAAGAAGGCCU